GACGAACGCUGGCGGCGUGCCUAAUACAUGCAAGUAGAACGCUGAAGGAGGAGCUUGCUUCUCCGGAUGAGUUGCGAACGGGUGAGUAACGCGUAGGUAACCUGCCUGGUAGCGGGGGAUAACUAUUGGAAACGAUAGCUAAUACCGCAUAACAGUAGAUAUUGCAUGAUAUCUGCUUGAAAGGUGCAAUUGCAUCACUACCAGAUGGACCUGCGUUGUAUUAGCUAGUUGGUGAGGUAACGGCUCACCAAGGCGACGAUACAUAGCCGACCUGAGAGGGUGAUCGGCCACACUGGGACUGAGACACGGCCCAGACUCCUACGGGAGGCAGCAGUAGGGAAUCUUCGGCAAUGGACGGAGGUCUGACCGAGCAACGCCGCGUGAGUGAAGAAGGUUUUCGGAUCGUAAAGCUCUGUUGUAAGAGAAGAACGAGUGUGAGAGUGGAAAGUUCACACUGUGACGGUAUCUUACCAGAAAGGGACGGCUAACUACGUG
This 495-nucleotide ribosomal RNA is filed under the name uncultured bacterium. RNAcentral describes it as "partial 16S ribosomal RNA". It matches the Rfam family "Bacterial small subunit ribosomal RNA", at positions 28 to 507 of the family's 1533-position model. The record is from RNAcentral.